UACGGGGGGAGCAAGCGUUGUUCGGAUUUACUGGGCGUAAAGGGCGGGUAGGCGGCCACUGCAAGUCGGUUGUGAAAUCUCCGGGCUUAACCCGGAAAGGUCAACUGAUACUGUGCGACUAGAGUGCAGAAGGGGCAACUGGAAUUCUCGGUGUAGCGGUGAAAUGCGUAGAUAUCGAGAGGAACACCUGCGGCGAAGGCGGGUUGCUGGGCUGACACUGACGCUGAGGCGCGAAAGCCAGGGGAGCGAACUGG
Molecule: ribosomal RNA, 254 nt
Filed under: uncultured prokaryote
Description: partial 16S ribosomal RNA
Rfam family: Bacterial small subunit ribosomal RNA
Source: RNAcentral